UAUAAAGUGGCGAACGGCUGAGUAACACGUGGGCAACCUGCCCUUUGCACUGGGAUAGCCUCGGGAAACCGAGGUUAAUACCGGAUACUCCAUAUUUGUCGCAUGGCGAAUAUGGGAAAGCUCCGGCGGCAAAGGAUGGGCCCGCGGCCUGUUAGCUAGUUGGUGGGGUAGUGGCCUACCAAGGCAAUGAUGGGUAGCCGGGUUGAGAGACCGACCGGCCAGAUUGGGACUGAGACACGGCCCAGACUCCUACGGGAGGCAGCAGUG
Molecule: ribosomal RNA, 267 nt
Filed under: uncultured Atopobium sp.
Lineage: Bacteria; Bacillati; Actinomycetota; Coriobacteriia; Coriobacteriales; Atopobiaceae
Description: partial 16S ribosomal RNA
Rfam family: Bacterial small subunit ribosomal RNA
Source: RNAcentral